Molecule: ribosomal RNA, 253 nt
Filed under: uncultured bacterium
Lineage: Bacteria
Description: partial 16S ribosomal RNA
Rfam family: Bacterial small subunit ribosomal RNA
Source: RNAcentral
UACAGAGGGUGCAAACGUUGCUCGGAAUUAUUGGGCGUAAAGCGCGUGUAGGCGGCUUGUUAAGUUGGUUGUGAAAACCCAUGGCUCAACCAUGGAAGGGCGUCCAAAACUGGCAAGCUAGAGUCCCGACGAGGAUGGCGGAAUUCCCAGUGUAGAGGUGAAAUUCGUAGAUAUUGGGAGGAACACCGGUGGCGAAGGCGGCCAUCUGAGAGGGCACUGACGCUGAGACGCGAAAGCGUGGGGAGCAAACAGG